UAGCAGGAGGAACAAACACGA
RNAcentral lists this unclassified non-coding RNA (21 nucleotides) under Mus musculus (house mouse). Its description in RNAcentral is "oocyte_clustered_small_RNA2228". Lineage: Eukaryota; Metazoa; Chordata; Mammalia; Rodentia; Muridae. The record is from RNAcentral.